This 374-nucleotide ribosomal RNA is filed under the name uncultured bacterium. RNAcentral's name for it is "partial 16S ribosomal RNA". It matches the Rfam family "Bacterial small subunit ribosomal RNA", at positions 338 to 726 of the family's 1533-position model. The record is from RNAcentral.
CCUACGGGGAGCAGCAGUGGGGAAUAUUGGGCAAUGGAGGCAACUCUGACCCAGCAACGCCGCGUGAAUGAUGAAGGUCUUCGGAUUGUAAAGUUCUUUUCUAAGGGAAGAAGAAAGUGACGGUACCUUAGGAAUAAGCCUCGGCUAACUACGUGCCAGCAGCCGCGGUAAUACGUAGGAGGCAAGCGUUAUCCGGAAUGACUGGGCGUAAAGGGUGCGUAGGUGGUUUGACAAGUUAGUAGCGCAACUCCGGGGCUCAACUUCGGAACUACUACUAAAAUUGUUGGGCUUGAGUGCAGGAGAGGCAGGCGGAAUUGCUGGGGGAGGGGGGAAAGGCGUAGAGAUAGGGAGGAAAAGCAGGGGCGAGGGCGGAU